This 60-nucleotide transfer RNA is filed under the name Nephaspis sp. DPP-2018. Its description in RNAcentral is "tRNA-Cys". The record is from RNAcentral. Lineage: Eukaryota; Metazoa; Arthropoda; Insecta; Coleoptera; Coccinellidae.
AGCUUUAUAUUCAAAAUGAUUGUAAAUUGCAAAUUUACAGGUGGGGUUACCCUAAGGCUU